CAAAUUUAAAAUGGUCGGACGAAAUCCCAUUAUUCUACCUUUGGUAAUUUCAAUUUUAAACAAAUUUUGAAGAAAUACUAGUCGUAUAUCUGGGAAAGGUUUGGGGAAGGGUUAGUGUUAGUGUUAGGGUUUGGCAUGGCGAGUUAGAGUGCAAACUUUCAGUUAUUGACAUGUUUUAAAUUUCGUUGUUAAAUUAAAUAGCGAUAAAUUUUUAAAUUGGAAUCCAAAAUGAGAAUAACAACACUAUUCCCAUCUAUAUAACUGUCUAUUAUUUCUUUUUACUCGGCGGAAAAGUGGGGUAGGCAGCCCUUACGCCUGGUCUGCGGUCUCUGGAUAUAAAGCAGGUACAUUAUUUUACAUAGGUCAAGUCACUGGCAAUAAAAGGAAGGCAUUGUUUCGCCUAAGUGAAAUCCAUUAUAAAUGAUCUAACGACAAGGGUUCCUUCUCUCGUGUGCCCCCUUUCACGCUUUCGCAAUUGAUGUUGUGCAUGGUAUGGAUAUAUAGUUGAUGAUGGGUUAAUUAAGUUAUUUUAAUGAUGGCUUUUUUAUAAUAAUUUCUACACACCUAUUACACUCACCUUGCAACAGUAGCAACAUAAUGACUGCUCUGCUGCACUCUAAAUACCCGAGUGUGCUACAACAUCAGAAUGGUGCGAUCAUUGCAGCUUCGUAUUCAACGUAAAUGCUAAAAACCAUUGUUGUGUUCGGAAAACACCAAAAUUACAUCCAAUAAGUGCAUUAAAACAGCUAUAACACUCAUUGGGUGUACAGAUAUCACGACUGAUAGCGUAUUUGGUGUUUCCCUAACACACAAAUGGCAAAAAAAACAUUCACACUAAAUCGGUCUCUACAGAGAUGCAAUGCAUGAUUACAUGAUCAUUCUGUUGUUCUAGCAACACCCAGAAAUUUGUAGUGCAGAAAUUAGCCAAAAGUGAAUGAAAUGUAAGCAAAAAAUUUAGUAAAGUUUGCAGCGAAAAAAGUACGGUAAAAUGUUGGAAAUUUAAAUUCCUCAAUAUUUGGGUCAAGUUUGGGUCAAUAUUUGUGUCAAAGUGUCGGGUCAAAAGACAAUAAGUGGUCAAGACAUAGCUACAUAGUUUGAAUAUUGAUAUAAUAAUAUUCAGCCCAUGCAGCAAAUACUCUGUUUUCGUCACAUAAAUGGAUG
Molecule: non-coding RNA, 1161 nt
Organism: Paramuricea clavata
Lineage: Eukaryota; Metazoa; Cnidaria; Anthozoa; Malacalcyonacea; Plexauridae
Source: the annotation of a GenBank genome assembly